CUAUCGCCCCUGUAAUGUAGUUUAUGAUAACUACACAUUCUUCAUAGCAGGAAUUAGACAAAUCUAUUUGUAACAAAUGUUCUUUCAGUAAUAUAAGGUUGAAGACAAUAGAACAGAACCAACACACAGACACACAGAUUUUAACUCUGCUUGUUGUUACCAUGGAAGAAUAGUGCAGAGGGUAACAAA
Long non-coding RNA from Dicentrarchus labrax (European seabass), 189 nucleotides. RefSeq lists it as uncharacterized. NCBI's taxonomy places the organism in Eukaryota, Metazoa, Chordata, Actinopteri, Moronidae. The record is from RefSeq and is a predicted model, not a curated record. The transcript has 2 exons.